Molecule: ribosomal RNA, 2164 nt
Rfam family: Bacterial large subunit ribosomal RNA
AGCGUACACGGUGGAUGCCCUGGCAGUCAGAGGCGAUGAAGGACGUGCUAAUCUGCGAUAAGCGUCGGUAAGGUGAUAUGAACCGUUAUAACCGGCGAUUUCCGAAUGGGGAAACCCAGUGUGAUUCGUCACACUAUCAUUAACUGAAUCCAUAGGUUAAUGAGGCGAACCGGGGGAACUGAAACAUCUAAGUACCCCGAGGAAAAGAAAUCAACCGAGAUUCCCCCAGUAGCGGCGAGCGAACGGGGAGCAGCCCAGAGCCUGAAUCAGUGUGUGUGUUAGUGGAAGCGUCUGGAAAGGCGCGCGAUACAGGGUGACAGCCCCGUACACAAAAAUGCACAUGCUGUGAGCUCGAUGAGUAGGGCGGGACACGUGGUAUCCUGUCUGAAUAUGGGGGGACCAUCCUCCAAGGCUAAAUACUCCUGACUGACCGAUAGUGAACCAGUACCGUGAGGGAAAGGCGAAAAGAACCCCGGCGAGGGGAGUGAAAAAGAACCUGAAACCGUGUACGUACAAGCAGUGGGAGCACGCUUAGGCGUGUGACUGCGUACCUUUUGUAUAAUGGGUCAGCGACUUAUAUUCUGUAGCAAGGUUAACCGAAUAGGGGAGCCGAAGGGAAACCGAGUCUUAACUGGGCGUUAAGUUGCAGGGUAUAGACCCGAAACCCGGUGAUCUAGCCAUGGGCAGGUUGAAGGUUGGGUAACACUAACUGGAGGACCGAACCGACUAAUGUUGAAAAAUUAGCGGAUGACUUGUGGCUGGGGGUGAAAGGCCAAUCAAACCGGGAGAUAGCUGGUUCUCCCCGAAAGCUAUUUAGGUAGCGCCUCGUGAAUUCAUCUCCGGGGGUAGAGCACUGUUUCGGCAAGGGGGUCAUCCCGACUUACCAACCCGAUGCAAACUGCGAAUACCGGAGAAUGUUAUCACGGGAGACACACGGCGGGUGCUAACGUCCGUCGUGAAGAGGGAAACAACCCAGACCGCCAGCUAAGGUCCCAAAGUCAUGGUUAAGUGGGAAACGAUGUGGGAAGGCCCAGACAGCCAGGAUGUUGGCUUAGAAGCAGCCAUCAUUUAAAGAAAGCGUAAUAGCUCACUGGUCGAGUCGGCCUGCGCGGAAGAUGUAACGGGGCUAAACCAUGCACCGAAGCUGCGGCAGCGACGCUUAUGCGUUGUUGGGUAGGGGAGCGUUCUGUAAGCCUGUGAAGGUGUACUGUGAGGUAUGCUGGAGGUAUCAGAAGUGCGAAUGCUGACAUAAGUAACGAUAAAGCGGGUGAAAAGCCCGCUCGCCGGAAGACCAAGGGUUCCUGUCCAACGUUAAUCGGGGCAGGGUGAGUCGACCCCUAAGGCGAGGCCGAAAGGCGUAGUCGAUGGGAAACAGGUUAAUAUUCCUGUACUUGGUGUUACUGCGAAGGGGGGACGGAGAAGGCUAUGUUGGCCGGGCGACGGUUGUCCCGGUUUAAGCGUGUAGGCUGGUUUUCCAGGCGAAAUCCGGAAAAUCAAGGCUGAGGCGUGAUGACGAGGCACUACGGUGCUGAAGCAACAAAUGCCCUGCUUCCAGGAAAAGCCUCUAAGCAUCAGGUAACAUCAAAUCGUACCCCAAACCGACACAGGUGGUCAGGUAGAGAAUACCAAGGCGCUUGAGAGAACUCGGGUGAAGGAACUAGGCAAAAUGGUGCCGUAACUUCGGGAGAAGGCACGCUGAUAUGUAGGUGAAGUCCCUCGCGGAUGGAGCUGAAAUCAGUCGAAGAUACCAGCUGGCUGCAACUGUUUAUUAAAAACACAGCACUGUGCAAACACGAAAGUGGACGUAUACGGUGUGACGCCUGCCCGGUGCCGGAAGGUUAAUUGAUGGGGUCAGCGCAAGCGAAGCUCUUGAUCGAAGCCCCGGUAAACGGCGGCCGUAACUAUAACGGUCCUAAGGUAGCGAAAUUCCUUGUCGGGUAAGUUCCGACCUGCACGAAUGGCGUAAUGAUGGCCAGGCUGUCUCCACCCGAGACUCAGUGAAAUUGAACUCGCUGUGAAGAUGCAGUGUACCCGCGGCAAGACGGAAAGACCCCGUGAACCUUUACUAUAGCUUGACACUGAACAUUGAGCCUUGAUGUGUAGGAUAGGUGGGAGGCUUUGAAGUGUGGACGCCAGUCUGCAUGGAGCCGACCUUGAAAUACCA